CUGUCGGCAGGCCUAACACAUGCAAGUCGAACGGUAACAGGAAGAAGCUUGCUUCUUUGCUGACGAGUGGCGGACGGGUGAGUAAUGUCUGGGAAACUGCCUGAUGGAGGGGGAUAACUACUGGAAACGGUAGCUAAUACCGCAUAACGUCGCAAGACCAAAGAGGGGGACCUUCGGGCCUCUUGCCAUCGGAUGUGCCCAGAUGGGAUUAGCUAGUAGGUGGGGUAACGGCUCACCUAGGCGACGAUCCCUAGCUGGUCUGAGAGGAUGACCAGCCACACUGGAACUGAGACACGGUCCAGACUCCUACGGGAGGCAGCAGUGGGGAAUAUUGCACAAUGGGCGCAAGCCUGAUGCAGCCAUGCCGCGUGUAUGAAGAAGGCCUUCGGGUUGUAAAGUACUUUCAGCGGGGAGGAAGGGAGUAAAGUUAAUACCUUUGCUCAUUGACGUUACCCGCAGAAGAAGCACCGGCUAACUCCGUGCCAGCAGCCGCGGUAAUACGGAGGGUGCAAUCGUUAAUCGGAAUUACUGGGCGUAAAGCGCACGCAGGCGGUUUGUUAAGUCAGAUGUGAAAUCCCCGGGCUCAACCUGGGAACUGCAUCUGAUACUGGCAAGCUUGAGUCUCGUAGAGGGGGGUAGAAUUCCAGGUGUAGCGGUGAAAUGCGUAGAGAUCUGGAGGAAUACCGGUGGCGAAGGCGGCCCCCUGGACGAAGACUGACGCUCAGGUGCGAAAGCGUGGGGAGCAAACAGGAUUAGAUACCCUGGUAGUCCACGCCGUAAACGAUGUCGACUUGGAGGUUGUGCCCUUGAGGCGUGGCUUCCGGAGCUAACGCGUUAAGUCGACCGCCUGGGGAGUACGGCCGCAAGGUUAAAACUCAAAUGAAUUGACGGGGGCCCGCACAAGCGGUGGAGCAUGUGGUUUAAUUCGAUGCAACGCGAAGAACCUUACCUGGUCUUGACAUCCACGGAAGUUUUCAGAGAUGAGAAUGUGCCUUCGGGAACCGUGAGACAGGUGCUGCAUGGCUGUCGUCAGCUCGUGUUGUGAAAUGUUGGGUUAAGUCCCGCAACGAGCGCAACCCUUAUCCUUUGUUGCCAGCGGUCCGGCCGGGAACUCAAAGGAGACUGCCAGUGAUAAACUGGAGGAAGGUGGGGAUGACGUCAAGUCAUCAUGGCCCUUACGACCAGGGCUACACACGUGCUACAAUGGCGCAUACAAAGAGAAGCGACCUCGCGAGAGCAAGCGGACCUCAUAAAGUGCGUCGUAGUCCGGAUUGGAGUCUGCAACUCGACUCCAUGAAGUCGGAAUCGCUAGUAAUCGUGGAUCAGAAUGCCACGGUGAAUACGUUCCCGGGCCUUGUACACACCGCCCGUCACACCAUGGGAGUGGGUUGCAAAAGAAGUAGGUAGCUUAACCUUCGGGAGGGCGCUUACCACUUUGUGAUUCAUGACUGGGGUGAA
This 1458-nucleotide ribosomal RNA is filed under the name uncultured organism. RNAcentral describes it as "SSU rRNA". It matches the Rfam family "Bacterial small subunit ribosomal RNA". The record is from RNAcentral.